RNAcentral lists this long non-coding RNA (1496 nucleotides) under Brassica napus (rape). RNAcentral's name for it is "long non-coding RNA (BNAP_LNC016994)". Lineage: Eukaryota; Viridiplantae; Streptophyta; Magnoliopsida; Brassicales; Brassicaceae. The record is from RNAcentral.
CUAAGUUUGGGAAGAUAAUUAAGGUCAUGUCACUGAUUUUGAUAUAAUUAGACAACUAACAAUUGUGUCUCUUUUGAUCCGGUUUUAACCUUUUCUUGUACAAGUAGCAGGUGAAAGGGUAGAAGGUGAGAUGACGUAGACAAAAAAAAAUAUGGCUAGUAUUAUAACAAAUAAUAUAUGGUCAGGAGUGGAGAAAAAGAGACAUCCACGUUACAUAUUUAUUGACCACAUAUGUAUGUACUGAAUGUUAUAUUCCACAUCACACGAAAUAGUAUAGGAGGACUAAAACCACAUCCAUAAUCCUUAAAUACUAAACACUAUCCCAACUCCAAAAUACUGAAUCAUAAAUCAUAAUCCAAAUAUAAACUAUAAUUAGGUGACGAAAUGAUAGUAAAAUGAAUAGAUAAAAUAUAAAACUUUUCAAUAAAGAAUUCAUUCCAUAUUAACCUAAUACACAACUUUUAAAUAUUAAACUCAAACCAAAUUUUAAAAUACUAAACCCAAAUAUAAACUUUAAUUAUCAACCCUAAACCCAAUUAUCAAAAUAUGAAAAUAAUAUAAUAUUAAACUAAAUCCAGGCCUAACUUUUAAAUAGUAUAGGGCUCUAAGACCAUCUCCAAUGAGACUAUUUUUUCCUCUAUAAAUUUACACCAAAAUAGAGUAACUCUAUUAUAGUGUAACUUUUGCUCCAAUAAUGUUACUCUAUAAUAGAGUUACUCUAUUACAGAGUGAAAUAUAGAGGAAUGUCACUUUUCCACUCCAUUGGAGCAAAAGUUACACUAUAAUAGAGUUACUCUAUUUUGGUGUAAAUUAUGGAGGAAAAAAUAGAUUGUCAUUGGAGAUGCCCUAGCCCAACACACAAUUUCUAAAUCCUAAUUACAGACCUAACUUUGAAUACUAAACCCUAAACUGCUAUCACUAAACUCAAACCUCAACUUCUAUUUUUCAAAUAUUAAACCCUAAAUCCUAAUCGCUAAACUCUAACCCAAAUAGAAUGGAACAAAAUACAUAGUAUAAUACAUAUUGGUGAACAAAAUAGAACACUAUUUACUAAUCAUCAAAUGGAACGAUAAUGAUAGGGUCACUAAACUCAAACCUCAACCCUACCUUCCAAAUACUAAACCUUAAAUCUUAAUCAUUAAACCCUAAACCUAAGUAUAAACCCUAAACCCAAAUAGAAUGGAACAAAAUAUCAUAUUUCUCAAAUGUUGAUAUGGCUAUACCUUCAUGGAAGGUGGUAAUGUUUGCUUCAAUGUCAAUCCCAAUCGUACAUAAACUAAACCCAAUCAACUAAUCAUUAAACCCAAUCAACUAAUCACUAAUCAAUAAAUAGAAUAGUACAAACUGAUGAAAUUAUGAAAUGUUUAUGAUUGCAUGUAAGAAGUUAAUGAUGAUCCCAACCCCAACUACCAACUACUAAAUACUAAACUCUAAACUCUAAAUCCUAAUUACUAAACCCUAAACCUAAAUAAAUAGAUUAAGCUAAACCCUAAUCA